This 492-nucleotide ribosomal RNA is filed under the name uncultured bacterium. Its description in RNAcentral is "partial 16S ribosomal RNA". It matches the Rfam family "Bacterial small subunit ribosomal RNA", at positions 29 to 507 of the family's 1533-position model. The record is from RNAcentral.
AGUGAACGCUGGCGGUAGGCCUAACACAUGCAAGUCGAACGGCAGCACAGUAAGAGCUUGCUCUUACGGGUGGCGAGUGGCGGACGGGUGAGGAAUACAUCGGAAUCUACUUUUUCGUGGGGGAUAACGUAGGGAAACUUACGCUAAUACCGCAUACGACCUACGGGUGAAAGCAGGGGAUCUUCGGACCUUGCGCGAUUGAAUGGGCCGAUGUCGGAUUAGCUAGUUGGCGGGGUAAAGGCCCACCAAGGCGACGAUCCGUAGCUGGUCUGAGAGGAUGAUCAGCCACACUGGAACUGAGACACGGUCCAGACUCCUACGGGAGGCAGCAGUGGGGAAUAUUGGACAAUGGGCGCAAGCCUGAUCCAGCCAUACCGCGUGGGUGAAGAAGGCCUUCGGGUUGUAAAGACCUUUUGUUGGGAAAGAAAAGCAGCAGGUUAAUACCCCGCUGUUCUGACGGUACCUAAAGAAUAAGCACCGGCUAACUUCGUG